Long non-coding RNA from Leopardus geoffroyi (Geoffroy's cat), 1324 nucleotides. RefSeq lists it as uncharacterized. The record is from RefSeq and is a predicted model, not a curated record. NCBI's taxonomy places the organism in Eukaryota, Metazoa, Chordata, Mammalia, Carnivora, Felidae. The transcript has 2 exons.
GGUACUGAGAUUGCGGGUACUCUGCAGCAUGAAGAAGGCGGCCCGUUCUCUGCCUUUCAACUCAGGGAACAGGUUCUGAGACUCUGGUGAGCCCGCCCUGUGUUAGGGUCGCAAGGAGGCACAAAGAAGAUGCAGGCCUGGCCCCUGGGAAGGAGUCUUCAAGCUAGUGUCACUACACUACCUAUCAUUCAAUAGUCCUUAAUCAAUCCUCCGCUGAAUACGACAGCUACGCUGAGCGAGGGGACGGUUGAGUAUCUGUUCCAUUUAUGAGAUCCUGUAUUAAAGUCAAUGCAUUUAUUGAGGGUCUGCUCCAUGCAAGAGCUAUACAAAGGCAUGUAAGAAAACAUCCCUGCCUUAAUUUGGCAGGGAGAGUAGACAGGAAAAGGUUAAUAGGAACUCAAGAAUCACAGAAGACAGGCUCGGGAACGCUAUUAGGUACAGAGGAUUAAGAGCCCGUUAGGGGAGUGUCCACUCCUUCAGCAGACAGAGGGCUGACAGAGACAGGGGGAAACUGGGAAAGUGGAAAGAACAAUGGGGGAAGACACAAGCAAAAGCCAAGGUUGAGAAGGCGAAGGGCCCCUCUCUCUCUGGGACUCUCCCUGCCAGUAUUUUUCUCUUUCUCUCCUGGAGGGCCAUAUAAAGGCAUUUUCCUCUUUCAUCUUGUACAUUAUGAUCCUAGGAGGGAUCUCCUCGGCUUCUCUUGUUUUCCAACUACCGUCUCAUGACAAAUGAUGUGUGUUUCACUCUUGCGUGGAGAAGUAUUGUACCAAAAUAUUAGGUUGGAAAAAAAAAAUUAGCACCACAAGAGUAAAAACAAAUGAUCACCUUUCCAAAGGAGAUAAUUACCCAGCCAAAUGAGAUCAUCUGCCCUGGGAGGGACCAGUCGGACUUGUUGGGGUGGGAGAAUGCCCCUCAUUUCUUCCUGGCACAACCUACAAUUUUCUGAUGGUUUGGGUGAUACGCUUUUCAUUAAAGUACGGCUUGACACUGUUCUCUCAGUCCCCAGUGACCAUGAGAUGAGUGCGAUGGCGAUAUUUUCCCGAGAAGCCCCAAGGCUGCCAAUCCCCAGCCUUCUGACCGUGAGAAGUACCAGUCCCCUUCACAAAUCAACACGGACAACUCUUCAAAUUCGAUUCUCGGGUACAAGUUCACAGCUAAUUCCUGCAAGAAUUUCAUUACUAACUGAAGCAUAAUUUAGAAUCUGUGAUUGAAAUGCCCGCCUGCUACCAUCCCCAGCUUUCCUCUUCAACUAGAUUACCCUACGGUUGUUGGGAAAUGUAUUAAGUGCAAGCUAAAUAAAGUUACAUUUACAUGCUUGGAUAUA